GACGAACGCUGGCGGCGUGCUUAACACAUGCAAGUCGAACGGAAAGGCCCCUUUGGGGGUACUCGAGUGGCGAACGGGUGAGUAACACGUGAGUAACCUGCCCUUGACUUCGGGAUAACUUCAGGAAACUGGGGCUAAUACCGGAUAGGAAUCCUUGCUGCAUGGUGGGGGUUGGAAAGCUUCGGCGGUUUUGGAUGGACUCGCGGCUUAUCAGCUUGUUGGUGGGGUAGUGGCUUACCAAGGCUUUGACGGGUAGCCGGCCUGAGAGGGCGACCGGCCACAAUGGGACUGAGCUACGGCACAGACUCCUACGGGAGGCAGCAGUGGCGAAUAUUGCACAAUGGGCGGAAGCCUGAUGCAGCAACGCCGCGUGCGGGAUGACGGCCUUCGGGUUGUAAACCGCUUUCAGCAGGGGCGAAGCUUUUGUGACGGUACCUGCAGAAGAAGCACCGGCUAACUACGUG
RNAcentral lists this ribosomal RNA (464 nucleotides) under uncultured bacterium. Its description in RNAcentral is "partial 16S ribosomal RNA". It matches the Rfam family "Bacterial small subunit ribosomal RNA", at positions 28 to 507 of the family's 1533-position model. The record is from RNAcentral.